RNAcentral lists this ribosomal RNA (498 nucleotides) under uncultured bacterium. RNAcentral's name for it is "partial 16S ribosomal RNA". It matches the Rfam family "Bacterial small subunit ribosomal RNA", at positions 30 to 523 of the family's 1533-position model. The record is from RNAcentral.
AUUGAACGCUGGCGGCAUGCUUUACACAUGCAAGUCGAACGGUAACAGGCCGCAAGGUGCUGACGAGUGGCGAACGGGUGAGUAAUGCAUCGGAACGUGCCCAGUCGUGGGGGAUAACGCAGCGAAAGCUGUGCUAAUACCGCAUACGAUCUAUGGAUGAAAGCGGGGGACCGUAAGGCCUCGUGCGAUUGGAGCGGCCGAUGUCAGAUUAGGUAGUUGGUGGGGUAAAGGCUCACCAAGCCAACGAUCUGUAGCUGGUCUGAGAGGACGACCAGCCACACUGGGACUGAGACACGGCCCAGACUCCUACGGGAGGCAGCAGUGGGGAAUUUUGGACAAUGGGCGCAAGCCUGAUCCAGCAAUGCCGCGUGCAGGAAGAAGGCCUUCGGGUUGUAAACUGCUUUUGUACGGAACGAAAAGGUUUGGGUUAAUACCCUGGGCCGAUGACGGUACCGUAAGAAUAAGCACCGGCUAACUUCGUGCCAGCCGCCGCGGUAA